GGGCUCCGCCGCAGGAGGACGGCCGUGUGCCCCGGGGAGGCUCGCUCCCCGCGGGCGAACGCUGGGCCUCGGGAGACCCACAGCUUUCAAGGUGAAGCACCUGGAAAGGCGGAAACCGGUGGUCCGGGUACCUCGGCCGGUUGUAGCCAACGUGGCCACGCUUGAGGAGCGAGUUUUGCCUCUCCCUGUGCUUCCUUUAAAGCCGGGUAUGGCGCACUUACUGCUAACGUGAAAGCCUUUGUAAAGGCGGAUAGCUGUGCUUGCUAUCCUGCCGUGGCUCAGUCUCGAGACCAGCGUACCAAGUGCUGGAGCAUGGGAUUUGAGCUUGUUAAAAUACGGGCAGUCCGGGCCCGGACCGUGAGUAAGGGCUCUCUCAAAAGAUUUCUAAAACAUUCCAAACGGUAGCUAAAUUGAACAAGCGAGGAAAAACGGAAGGAAAAGGUCUCACUGAAGAAUACUUGAGAGCAGGGAUCUCUUGUGGUAUGUGACUUUUCUGAAAGGAUUGCUUGGCGCUGUGAUGACCAGAUUAUAAUAAAUAAACUACCCCCGCGUUUAUUCCAGGACCAUGAAACUGCUGUUCAUAAGGUAGUUAGGGCCAACGCGUGGCUUCGAAGUGGCGCUCACAGAAACAGAUUGCUGUGCUCGGCUAUUCAAGAUGUCGUCCUGGCCGAGGCGGCUGUGCAGCCUGAGGACGCCCCUUCAGAGCCUGGGGGCCCUAGUCAGGUGCCCUGGGAUUCUUGACGUAGUGCCGCCCAACAGCGCUCCGAGAACGGAAUGCCUUAGCCGGCUAAUUCAUUAGGAGAAAGAACGCCUGAGAGUGAGGCAGGGCCGCAGUGCUAGACUGUGACAUCCGGAAGCCUUCAACAGCAGAGAUGGAGAUCUGGUGCCUUCUGACCUCCAGGAGCAUGAGGCAGGCACUUGGUGCACAAACACGCAGAAUGUGGCACAAUGACAACCGUGAGGAUGAAGCCACCUUAAGUGAUAUGCUAGAGAUGGAGGAAGACAGAAUGUGGGUCCCUGUGACGCUGUGGAGCUGUAGAAGCCACGGGCUGCUUCAUUGGCUUGAGGACAUUAAUAAUAAACUCAGUCGCCAGUCGGUGAAGAGAACCAGAGCGUUUCGCCGUGGUGUCCUUUAACCACGAGUGAACCUGGAUUUGAAUUCUUGACUUCUCUCUCCUCCUGCUCUUCUGUUGUCCUCUGUCGUGAGUCCAGCUCUGCUUGCUGCUGCUGUCCCUGCGUCUGCGUGCCCGUGUUGGUUUCUGACAAAGUGCUUUGCUCUCUCUCUCUCUCUCUCUCUCUCUCUCUCUCUCUCUCUCUCUCUCUCAUUGACCAGCACAGAAAGCAUCACCCAGGAAAGGAAUGAAGGUACUUCACAGGAAUCACUGAGCAGUGAAUUACGUCACUGACCCAGAUAACAUUUUAUCAGGCAACAUCCAUAUGCUGUUUCAGCAUUGUGGUGGACAUUGGUUUUUUAAAGUUCUUUCUGCCUGUUGCUGUUUUCAGCAUUUAUUACCAUCACGUGCACGCACUCGUGUGCACGCGCACACACAUUAUCCACGGAUGGGACAUUACCCGUGGAUCAGAGCAUGGAAGAGUGUAUAACAGAAGAUUUUGGUUAUGAGAAAUGAUUAUACGGGAGAUCCAAGGCAAGGGAGUUUGCCAGGUUAAACUGGCUGAGCACCCAGCGGAACAUGCCUCAAGGCGAAUUACUAAUCUGGCUGUGAAAUGGAGCAAAAGUUGCAGUCUACCGUAUUGCCACAGCCUACCUAGCUGUGGAUUUCUCGUUAUAAAAUAAAACUUUAGGUAUUUGGGCCGUGUGUGCACACACACGAGAGUGCACACAUGUUCUGUCCUUUGUUGCUGGUUGAACUUACUCGGUGUGUUUACUGUGCUCACACAUGUCCUGUCAGCACUGGAGAGAGCAGAAGCAGGGGUGGACUCACGGCCAGGUUGGCUGCACAGUGAGUUCUAGGCCAGCGGAGACCACAUACUGAGACUUUUUUCUUUUUUAAGUAGCCCUGGCUGUCCAGAACUCACUGUGUAGACCAGGCUGGCCUUGAACUCAGAGAUCCACCUGCCUCUGCCUCCCAAGUGCUGGGAUUAAAGACGUGCGCCCCACCACCAGGCUAGCAGGUGUUUUCUAAAGAAUUUUCAUCCAGAUUAGUCGGUCUUACUUUUUGGUGAAUCUAUGCUGCCUGCAUGCUUCUUUCCACGUGCAUGUAAAUCCUUUUCCAUUACAACACCAAAACUUUCCAACUUAAAACAGCUACUCAAAAGCAGGAAAAUUGUAGUAUUUCUCCUGAUUUCUGGUGUCCUGUGGCUCACUCAGCUGCAUCCACCGGGGAGGUCCAGAGUGACGGGUGUCUGAGCUUCUGCCUCCUGUUGGAUGAGAUACAGUGGUUCUUUUCCACGGCUCCUUUUCUCUCCAGAUGUCCUUUUGUCCACUGUUAAUCUAGCUGGAGCGCCUUUACAGGGUGGCUUGCUCUUAAAAGAAUGGAAACAAAGCUGCCAGGCGUCUUAAGGCCUUGACCUGGAUCUGGUGCACAUUCCCUCCUGCUGCAGGCUAAGUCAGGUGCAACAGGCCCUCAGCAUUGACUCACAAGGCCUAAGCUGCAGAGCUUCGUCACUGCCCCAACGCUGCCGUCGGUCACCUUGGGUUCCAGGGAGAAGGGAGCCUUUGAAGGCAGACUCCACACACACGCACGCGCACACACACACACACACCAGGUCAGAUGAGGGCAAUGCCACAUCCGUUGCAGACAUAACAAUUAACAACAACAAAAGAGCAGAUCAGCAGCUUGUCAACCGCCUUGCUGGACUGGAGCUGAGACGGUGAUGGACAGGCCACUCCUGACCAGGACUCUUAGUUCUGCGUAUAUCUUCCUGCUUCAGGUCAGCUCUGCCUAGAGCUAGGCUUGGAUCCGUGUCCUGGAGAUGCACUUGGAGUUACUGGCUCCCUUUGUGUGUUCCUUCUCCCUGAGAAUGAUGGAGUCUCCUUUCCCGAGUGGUUACAUGGGGUUGAGUGAGCAAGGCUGACUCCUCAGGGCCACAGGAGCUGAGGCUCACAGCUUGGAUGAGCACACCGGGGCAUCUGCUGUUAGUAACAGGUAACCCUAAGUGAAUGGCAAAGAUUGAAUGGCCUCAUGCAGAUUUUGGGAUCACUUCUAUUAUAGGGAUCUUUUUCUUUUCGUUCUACUUUGGCCAAAAAUCACUGCCUUCUAUCUUUUGAUGAAGCAGAGAAACAAAUGUUUGUACUUCAUGAUCUCUAGAGACUGACUCUCACUAAGUGCUCUAACUUCCAGCAUCGCCCUUGCUGUUCCAGGUCAGUAAGGAGGUGCUUUUGAGCUGCUUGGACACCUGCCAUUUGCCCUGAAAUACUGUCUUUGAAGGCUCUUUUGCUCUGGGGCUCUUUUGAACUAUUUGAGUAUCUGCUGUUUGUCUAACAAGCCUUGUCUCUGGGCUCUUUUGAUCAAAUCAGGGUUCAUUUGAAUGAUCUGAGCUAAGACCAGGGAAGCUUGGAUCUGUAGUUUUCUAUAGAAUGCAGCAAGGAAGGAAUUCACGGUACUCAGAAACCUGGGCAGGUGGGAGCGCUGCUGUAAUUUACACAAAGCAGGAAGUCCGCACCGUGGCAGUGCCCUCUGGGGAAUGAGCGUCCUUUGUUUCUUGUUUUAUGUGUAUGGAUGUUUUUGUCUGCAUGUACAGCUGUCUACACAACACAGGCAGUCAUCUGGUCUAUGGCUGUAGGGUCGUGGAUGGUUGUGAGCCACCAUGUGGGUGCUGGGAAUGAACUCCGGGCCUGGCUGUUGGUCACCGAGCCACCAUUCUGGCUCUCUUUGUGUUGUUUUGUUUUGGGGGGAUUGAUACAAGGUUUCUCUGUGUAGACUUGGCUAUUCUGGACUCUCUUUGUAGACCAGGCUGGCCUCCAACUCACAGAGCUCCACCUGCCUCUGCCUCCCUGAGUGCUGGGAUCACAGGCCUGCGCCACUGAGCCCGGCUACACUGAGCCCAGCUACACUGUGGUUUUUGUCAUUUUAUGUAUUGGGCUGUUGGUCUCUGUAUGGUGCUUGUUGUGAAGUUUGAAAUUCUGAUGACCGGCGACAGUCUCAUGGGGGAUUUAUGUAAGAAUUUACCCCGUUUCUGGGUUGUUAACUACAGCAGCUUAUAUUGGUGGUGCAUGUAAGCUGGCUGGCUACACCUCGAGCUACCCCACACCCCUCAGGGCUGGGGCAAAGGACCUUGUCAACAUCCACUCACAUAAAAACGAAUGAAAUAGAUAUUUAAAAAAGGUUUUUUAUAACCAGCCAUGGUGACACACAGGCAGGUGGCUCUCUAUGAGUUCAAGGCCAGCCUGGUCUGCAAAUCAGUUUCCAGGAGAGCCAGGGCUGUUGCAUAGAGAAACCCUGUCAUAGGGUUGGAGGGGGUUGCUUUGUUUUUUGUUUUCUUUUAAAGACCAUUAACUGACAUUCCAGAAAGGAAAAAAAAAAAAAAAAAAAAGCCAUGCCAGGUUGCGGAAUGUCCUGUGUUACGGUAUUUGCCUAGAAUGUGAGGUCGUAAAUUCAAAGCAGCACUGCUCAAAAAACAAAAACCAACAACAACUAAAACAUUCUACAAGGCUGACUGGUUUAGAACUUGAGUGGUCAGGAUAGAGAGAUGGCUCAGAGGUUAAGAGCACUGGCUGCUCUUCCAAAGGUCCUGAAUUCAAUUCCCAGCAAUCACAUGGUGGCUCAUAACCAUCUAUAGUGAGAUCUGGUGCCCUCUUCUGGUGUGUAGGCGUACAUGCAGGCAGAACAUUGUAUACAGAAUUUAUAUAUAACUUGAGUGGUUAUCAGGAGCUGCAGUGUUGAGGCAUUUAGACUCCCUUAGGAAUGGGCAGACAGGCCUCCACCAAUCUGGCGGUAGUGGGACUCUCCUGCUUUGCUGUGACACCCCCAUCAACUACCCAGCAACGCUUUGGAAGUGUGGGAAUUAGCUUCUUUUUCUUGCUCGUGUCACUAUGAAAUUGUCAUCAUAUUGGAACAUGGUACUUGAGGCAAUGUGGUCAUUGCAUUCCUGUGCAGUACUCACUCACAUUUGGCUCUAGAGUAAACGAUCUUUUACUCCCUUUGCAGUGGGAGCCCCAUUGUGUGUGUGUGUGUGUGUGUGUGUGUGUGUGUUAACAACACACUAAUGUAAAGCCAGAAUGUCAUGCUCUGUAUCUAAAGCAACUAGGUUUUCUUUUUUCAUUUUCUUUUCUUUUUUCAUUUGUUUGUUUGUUUGUUUUUCCAGGAAGACCAGGCUGGCCUGGAGCCCAGAGAUCCACCUGCCUCUGCCUACCGAGUGCUGGGAUUAAAGUUUAUCACCAGGCCAAGAAAGCUAAAAAGACAGAUUAGCAGGUGCCUGGGAUCCACAGACCACGGAGUGUUCAUACCCACGAGAGGAACAGUUAUUUAGAAGCCACUUUGUUACAAACUGUUUGCACUUCGCUGGGUCCCGCAAGGCUGGAGGCGCAGAGAUAAGCCCUUGUCUUAAACCUGCAGUCACGUUGGAUUCCGGAAGAGGCCCGCGUUAGCCCCUCCCCCUCUUUAUCACACAGAUGGGGAAGGUUGCCUAGAAGAGCCAAGCUGCCCGCUGGAGCAGAAAUAAUCACCUUGUGGAAACUAGUUCAGAUUAGCAGUUUAUCAACCACCUUCCUCCUGCGCAGGAGCUAAGGCGAUGAGUGGGACCACACCUUCACCAAGGCUUCGAAGCUCUCAUGCCUUUCGCUCACCAGUUCUUCCACCAUUGGAACGGAAAGUUUGUUCCUUCUUCCCGGUGCAUCAGUUAAGUCUCUCUUCUCUGCUUUUCACCGCCGUCUGUCUAUUUGGUUGGCAUAGCGGGACAGGUAGGGAAGCCCAGCUUGGUGGUGCUGCUGAAGCGGGGGCUCCCCUAAAGUCUCAAACAAAGAAGUCAUUUGAUUUCGUUUUGACAGAGUCUCAAUAUGUACCACUGGCUGUCCUGGAACUUGCUGUAUAGACCAGGCUGGCCUUGAACUCACAGACUCCUCGCUUCUGCCUGCAGAGCCCAGGGACUAAAGGCGUGCUCCACGAUGUCCCAAAGCUUUGGGUUCAAAGAGAGUGAUAGAUUCCGCCUUUCUCUUUUGCUUGUUUUCUUUAUGAGAUACAAUUUUUACUAUUUUCUAAUUUAUUACUAUUGUGGGUGUACGUGCUGUGUGUGUGUGGAGCUGGUUUUCUCCCUCCACCUUUACAUAGGUCAUCAGGCUUGCAGGCGAGGGCCUUCACCCACUGAGACACCUUGCCACCUCACCAGCCUCCUGCACCAACCUGUUUCUUCUGUUUUCAAAGAUCGAUUUUGUCUUAUGUAUGUGAAAAAUGUAUAUGCUUGGUCACCACGGAGGCCAAAAAAGGGCACGAGGCCCCUCGCACAGAAAUUACAGAUAGUUGUAAACCACUGUAUGGGUGAUGAGAGUCAAACCUGCUUCCUCUGCAAGAGCAACUCGCACACAAACACGAACACACACAGAUGAAAAUUUAAAAACAAAACCCUCCUCUUAUUCAACCCCACUUGUUCAGUUUGUACUAUUUCCCUAUACCAUGGGCCGAGGGCACACGACCAUUUGGGAACAUUCCAAGUCAAAAUUAUAGUUUCAACCAGCAGCCCUUCACCCCCCAAACCACAGCCAAGAUCUGUGCCCGAGGCAAGUUACAAGAUUAUACUAUGGUCUUUUUCCCUGUUUUUCUGUUGCGUUUUACUCUGUAACCUGUGAGCAUUCAGGUGUGUGUGUGUGUGUGUGUGUGUGUGUGUAAGACAGGGUCUCAUGGGACCAGAAAGAUUGCUUAGUGAUUAAAAGGAAUUCUUGCUGUUGCAGAGGCUCUGAGUCUGGUUCUCAGCACCUCCAAAGCUGUUCACAACCGCCUGCGUCCGCUGUCCCGGGGACCUGACCUCUGCAGGCUCCUGUAUGCACACGGUGCACACAUAUGCACGCAGGUUCUCUCUGUCUCUCUCUCUCUCUCUCUCACACACACACACACACAAUGGAAGUUUUGGAGUUUUGGUUACUUUAAAAGCUGAGUUAUGAGCCGGACGUGGCGGUAUAUGUCUGUAAUCCUAGCACUUGGGGAGGCAGAGGCAGGGGAAUUGCUGUGAGGCCAGCCUGGUCUACAAAGUGAGUCCAGGAUAGCUAAGGCUACACAGAGAAACUCUGUCUCAAAAAACAAACAAAAACAACAAGAGCCAGAAAACUGAAUUUUGCAAACAGGUUUUUGUUUUAAUCCCAAGGGUGGGAUAUGGGGUUGCUUUUAGCUUGUCCACAGCUGAUGACUGCCUUCAAGGGCUGGGAGACUGGGGUCGUUUUGUCAGCUGUAGAGAGUUUAAUUCUGAGGACUUGGAGAGGGUAUCGCUACAAGAGCCCAGAGAGAGGAGGGGAGAGGGCUUUGAAGAGAUGGAGGAGGAAGAAGGCCACUUGUUCCUCUUGCGGUGUUUGCCCUUGGCUAUUGCCAGACUGCUAGAUAUCCUGCUGACUGAGAUUAGUAGUUUCUCAAAGAACACAGUGACCCUAACCAGCUGGAACUAAGUCUAAAGAGGUCUGCAUCCCCUUUCCCUUCUACCCUUCUUUCUCUCCUACCUAGGGUUGGAAGGGAGGUAGGGUCAGAAGGGAGGUAGAGGCGUAAAUAACCCCAAAUAAAGUAGAGUUUAAAAACUAAUGCCUACACAUACAUACACACACACAUCAAAUGCAAAUAAGAGGCAGGGGAUCUCUGUGAGUCUGAGGCCAGCCUGGGCUGCAAAGAGAAUUCCAGCAAAGCCAAGGCUACACAGAGAAACCCUGUUUCAAAAAAAACAAAACAAAAAACAAAGAAAAGACAGGAUCUCAUUAUAUAGCCUAGGCUGGCCUGAAACUCACAGAGACCCACCUGUCUGAGUCCAGAGAGCUGGGAUUAAAGGCCUGCACCACCAUGCCUCAAAUUUCUUAGCUUAGUUUUUCAGACAGGGGCUCUUACUGAGCCAGGACUUCAUUGAUUCAACUAGACAGACCAUCAAGCAAGCCCCAACGAUCCAGGGAGAUCACAGGAAUGUGCCAUGUCUUAAGGGUUGUUUGUUUGGUUUUCCAAGACAGGGCUUCUCUGUGUAGCCUUGGCUGAACUCGCUCUGUAGCCCAGGCUGGCCUCGAACUCAGAGAUCCGCCUGCCUCUGCCUCCCCGAGUGCUGGGACUACAGGCCUGCACCACCACCGCCCUGGCAUCUCUUGUAAAGGAAAACAUUUACUCGGUUGGCCUCCGUUUCAGAGGUCUCUGUGAGUUCAAGGCCAUCCCGCUCUAUAUAUUGAGUUCCAGGACAGCCAGGGCUAUAGAGUGAGACACUGUGUGUCUCCUACACACACGCACACAUACAAGUCAUGGACAUGAAAUAGAUGCAAUUUUUAAAUUUUGAAAAUAAAACAAAAAUAAAGAAUAAUGCCCUAUUAUCUACUCACCCAAUUCCUGGUGGUCACUGUUGUGUUAUUUACUCUGAAUUUGAUUGUUACUACAUUUUGUUCUUCCACCCUAGUGGGUUCUCUCUAUUUGUGACUUUUGCGAAUAUGAACAUGUAUAUAUAAUAUUUGUAUGUACAUGCAUACAUGUAUAUGAACAUGUAAUAUACAUAUAUAUACAUAUAUA
Molecule: long non-coding RNA, 8633 nt
Organism: Meriones unguiculatus (Mongolian gerbil)
Lineage: Eukaryota; Metazoa; Chordata; Mammalia; Rodentia; Muridae
Exons: 4
Source: RefSeq, a predicted model, not a curated record